GGACCCGCACAAGCGGUGGAGCAUGUGGUUUAAUUCGAUGCAACGCGAAAAACCUUACCUACUCUUGACAUACUUGGAAGCUCUUGUAAUGAGAGUGUGCCUUUUGGAACCAAGAUACAGGUGCUGCAUGGCUGUCGUCAGCUCGUGUCGUGAGAUGUUCCGUUAAGUCGGAUAACGAGCGCAACCCUUACCCUUAUUUGCCAGCGAUUCGGUCGGGAACUAUAAGGGGACUGCCGGUGAUAAACCGGAGGAAGGUGAGGACGACGUCAAGUCAUCAUGGCCCUUACGAGUAGGGCUACACACGUGCUACAAUGGGGAAUACAGACGGACGCUAAGCCGCGAGGGGGAGCCAAUCCGACAAACCUAGUCGUAGUCCGGAUCGGAGUCUGCAACUCGACUCCGUG
RNAcentral lists this ribosomal RNA (404 nucleotides) under uncultured bacterium. RNAcentral's name for it is "bacterial SSU rRNA". It matches the Rfam family "Bacterial small subunit ribosomal RNA", at positions 917 to 1322 of the family's 1533-position model. The record is from RNAcentral.